GCCUACUGAACCAUUGCAUAUUGUUUUUACAGCGCAUGUCGUCGGUGCACUGCCCCGUGUCAAGGGAAAUACGGUGGUCAUCGUGGGAGUGACUGCUGACCUUUCAAAUAGCCUCGACGCAUCGCCCCGUAUCAUAUCAGGGCACGGCUGUGAUCAUCGUGGUCGUGUUUUUGUUGUGCCCCGCUGUGAGCGCCACCUGGAUAGCUGUUCAGCUCGGAGCAUCUCCGGGUGUACUGAACCACACUUUGGCAGCAGCAGCGGAUCUGCGCACAGCCUACUGAACCAUUGCAUAUUGUUUUUACAGGUACUAAAGUUCUUCACUGCUGUUGCUGUGGGUUCUUGACGGAACGUCCCAGCUGCUUUGGAGGUUGACAUCGCUUUUCAUCGCUGCGUGUGCUUUUUUCAACGCGCAGCGCAUGUCGUCGGUGCACUGCCCCGUGUCAAGGGAAAUACGGUGGUCAUCGUGGGAGUGACUGCUGACCUUUCAAAUAGCCUCGACGCAUCGCCCCGUAUCAUAUCAGGGCACGGCUGUGAUCAUCGUGGUCGUGUUUUUGUUGUGCCCCGCUGUGAGCGCCACCUGGAUAGCUGUUCAGCUCGGAGCAUCUCCGGGUGUACUGAACCACACUUUGGCAGCAGCAGCGGAUCUGCGCACAGCCUACUGAACCAUUGCAUAUUGUUUUUACAGGUCAGUACUAUCGUUGUUUCUUUCCUUAGUGUUCUGUUGCUUUCUGCUGCUGCUGCUGCUGCUGCCAUAGUGUUUUUAGUGUUUUUUGAUGUCGCCAGCCGAAAUGGAAAAACAUUUUAAAGAGUUGAAACAAGAGUUUCGCGAAAUGCGGACUGCCCUGGAGAGAGAGCUGCGUAAGGAAAUACGUGAUGUGAAAACAAGUCUAGACUUUUUUAAUAAGCAGUUUGAAGAAAUUUCGGCUCUGUGCUCGCGGCUUGAAAAAGAAAACGGUGAGCUAAAGGCUCAAAAUGAUGUUCUGAAGACUGAUUGCAGUCAGCUGAAGCAGGUCGUUCUCAACAAUGAACGUAGGACUACCGCCCUAGAACAGUACUCGCGAAACCGAAAUAUUGAAGUGAAAAAUGUUCCUUUCGUGGAGGGUGAACGGUUGACCAGGGUCGUUCAGAAGAUUGGUGAAGCUGUCGGCGAAUCAGUGAAAGAAGAUGACAUAGAAAUUU
This is a long non-coding RNA of Rhipicephalus microplus (southern cattle tick), 1179 nucleotides long. The record is from RefSeq and is a predicted model, not a curated record. Lineage: Eukaryota; Metazoa; Arthropoda; Arachnida; Ixodida; Ixodidae.